RNAcentral lists this ribosomal RNA (250 nucleotides) under uncultured bacterium. Its description in RNAcentral is "partial 16S ribosomal RNA". It matches the Rfam family "Bacterial small subunit ribosomal RNA", at positions 524 to 776 of the family's 1533-position model. The record is from RNAcentral.
UACGUAGGGUGCGAGCGUUGUCCGGAAUUAUUGGGCGUAAAGAGCUUGUAGGCGGUCUGUCGCGUCUGCUGUGAAAACCCAGGGCUCAACCCUGGGCUUGCAGUGGAUACGGGCAGACUAGAGGUAGGUAGGGAGAAUGGAAUUCCCGUGUAGCGGUGAAAUGCGCAGAUAUCAGGAGGAACACCGGUGGCGAAGGCGGUUCUCUGGGCAUGUCCUGACGUGAGGAGCGAAAGUGUGGGGAGCGAACAGG